This 217-nucleotide long non-coding RNA is filed under the name Lupinus angustifolius (narrow-leaved blue lupine). RNAcentral's name for it is "long non-coding RNA (LANG_LNC000128)". The record is from RNAcentral. Lineage: Eukaryota; Viridiplantae; Streptophyta; Magnoliopsida; Fabales; Fabaceae.
UUGGUGUGAGAAUGAAGGUUCUGCAGGUUUCAAUAUAUAGGGUUGGAAGUCGUGGAUGGGGUCUAUGACUUCAUCAAACUCAUGGAUGGGGUCAACGAAUUCGUACCUGGCAAUGGUACUUGUGCCCUAGCCACACAUGAGAUUCCCUGGCUUAACCUAGCCUGGGCCACGACUCGUGGUUGAAUUCAAAUUUCAGAAAACAUACAAUAUACCCACG